Molecule: ribosomal RNA, 479 nt
Filed under: uncultured bacterium
Lineage: Bacteria
Description: partial 16S ribosomal RNA
Rfam family: Bacterial small subunit ribosomal RNA
Source: RNAcentral
GACGAACGCUGGCGGCGUGCUUAACACAUGCCAGUCGAACGAAGCUUGAUUACGGAUUCUUCGGAUGAAGUAUGAUAUGACUGAGUGGCGGACGGGUGAGUAACGCGUGAGUAACCUGCCCUUCAGAGGGGGAUAGCGUUUGGAAACGAACGGUAAUACCGCAUAAUGUAUUUUGACCGCAUGAUCGAAAUACCAAAGAUUUAUCGCUGAAGGAUGGACUCGCGUCUGAUUAGGUAGUUGGUGGGGUAACGGCCUACCAAGCCGACGAUCAGUAGCCGGACUGAGAGGUUGAUCGGCCACAUUGGGACUGAGACACGGCCCAGACUCCUACGGGAGGCAGCAGUGGGGAAUAUUGCACAAUGGGCGCAAGCCUGAUGCAGCAACGCCGCGUGAAGGAAGACGGUUUUCGGAGUGUAAACUUCUGUUCUUAGUGAAGAAUAAUGACGGUAGCUAAGGAGCAAGCCACGGCUAACUACGUG